GAUGAACGCUGGCGGCGUGCCUAAUACAUGCGAGUCGAGCGAACAGACGAGGAGCUUGCUCCUUUGACGUUAGCGGCGGACGGGUGAGUAACACGUGGGUAACCUACCUAUAAGACUGGGAUAACUUCGGGAAACCGGAGCUAAUACCGGAUAAUAUUUCGAACCGCAUGGUUCGAUAGUGAAAGAUGGCUUUGCUAUCACUUAUAGAUGGACCUGCGCCGUAUUAGCUAGUUGGUAAGGUAACGGCUUACCAAGGCAACGAUACGUAGCCGACCUGAGAGGGUGAUCGGCCACACUGGAACUGAGACACGGUCCAGACUCCUACGGGAGGCAGCAGUAGGGAAUCUUCCGCAAUGGGCGAAAGCCUGACGGAGCAACGCCGCGUGAGUGAUGAAGGUCUUCUGAUCGUAAAACUCUGUUAUUAGGGAAGAACAAACGUGUAAGUAACUGUGCACGUCUUGACGGUACCUAAUUAGAAAGCCACGGCUAACUACGUG
Molecule: ribosomal RNA, 497 nt
Filed under: uncultured bacterium
Lineage: Bacteria
Description: partial 16S ribosomal RNA
Rfam family: Bacterial small subunit ribosomal RNA
Source: RNAcentral